RNAcentral lists this ribosomal RNA (248 nucleotides) under uncultured bacterium. RNAcentral's name for it is "partial 16S ribosomal RNA". It matches the Rfam family "Bacterial small subunit ribosomal RNA", at positions 524 to 769 of the family's 1533-position model. The record is from RNAcentral.
UACGGAGGGGGCGAGCGUUGCUCGGAUUUACUGGGUGUAAAGGGCACGUAGGCGGUCUUGUAAGCCCUGCCUUAAAGGCUCUGGCUCAACCAGAGUAGGCGGUAGGGGACUGCAGGACUUGAGGAUGGGAGAGGUAAGCGGAAUUCCCGGUGUAAGGGUGAAAUCUGUAGAUAUCGAGAGGAACACCUGAGGUGAAGACGGGUUGCUGGGCCGACACUGACGCUGAGUGCGCGAAAGCCAGGGGGAGC